Long non-coding RNA from Pan troglodytes (chimpanzee), 933 nucleotides. The record is from Ensembl. NCBI's taxonomy places the organism in Eukaryota, Metazoa, Chordata, Mammalia, Primates, Hominidae.
AAAAAAUCAUUUCAUCUUAGACAAGGAAAAUGUAUUACAAGUGGGAGCAUUCUAAAUCCUUAGGUUUCAUGAGUAUUCCAUUUUUCUUGUUAAUAGACAGCUGUGCUUUUUAUGAACUUCUAAGAGUUGACCAACUUUAGUCAGAGUUGGAGUUAUUAAAGGCUGAGGACAGAAGACAUAGACUCUCUCCAAAGUGGGCAUUUGCAGUGUGGAAUUACAGAAAAGAGAAGAAAAAGCCAUUAUAGGGGGAAAAUAACGAGAAAAAGAGAGAGCAACCAGGAGAAGAUAUUGAAAAAGCACUGAAGCUCAAGCACAGAUUUACUAGGUCAGAAGGAAACUACUUGCUCAAAAGGAGACCAGAGGAAUGAAAAUGUGGUAUAACCAGGAGUUGCGAAGUGGACGUAGUUGUUCCUGUCUCAAUCUAGAUCAUCUUUGCUUUUUGCUUCUGCUUUGUGCUAUCCCUCUUCCUGUACCUCAAUUCUAGCUGGUCCUGUGGGAAAGCAGACACAGCUCACUAGACUCAAAAUGAACUAUACUAGGCAUGAGAUUAAAAAAAAAAUCAUUCACAAGAAUUUUUCUCAGAGAGAAAACUCCAUCUUUGAUCAUGAGAAUGAGUUGAGGUGAAAUGUAAGAACUUCCACAGAUGGCUUCAAAGAGAGAGACAGACAGAGAGAGAGAGAAAGAAAGUUCUUCUACAAAAGGGAAGAAGAAUAUGAGAUUCCAAAGGGUGAGUGAGGGGCAGUGGAUAUAUAAGUGAAAGACAACAGGAAUCAGAAAGGUAGAGGAAUAUUGGGGAAAUGGUAGAGAAAUAGGACUUAGGAGCAGCAGCAAAGAAAGUUCAUAGAAUUGUCCAAAAAGGGAUUUUUAAGUUGUGUGCUAAAACUGACCCCUAUCCUCAUUCCACUACAAAAUCUAAAAUAAAUUCUACAUUCC